UGUCACUGGGUGACAUCUCUGGGCUCAGCACAGACCACACAGAGCUUGAGUAGGAGCCUCCACGUGUCCUUUGGCUCCUGCUGCUUGGACGCUGUGGAGGUGACAUUGUCUGGAGCUCAGUGGCCUGGCACAGGGGGACAGCCCUGGACCUGUGCACAGCUUCACUCCAGGCAGGCUUUCCUGGUGACUUGAAGAUGAUCUGGGGGCAUCACCCUGUUUUCCAACUUGACAUGAGGUGGGUGGCAGGUUAAGCGGGGAGCACAUCCUCCUGCUCCACACCAGGAAGGCCACAGCUGGAUACUGGGACCAGUUUGGGGCUCCAAGGGAUCUCCAAAGCCUAGGGACAUCCUGGCAAGGUGGGUGGCAGCCAGGGCAAGCAAGGACAGACUGCGGGAGCUGGGCUUCCUCAACCAGAGGAGGAGGCAAAGGGGGAUCCAGUGGCACCUCCUUCUGCCCAAAGACAUCUCGGAGACGUUGGGGAUGGACUCUGCUUGGAGGGGCACAGUGUGAGCCCCUGAGGCUCUGGCACAGCUGCAGCAGCUGGAAACAGCAGCUGGUCCCAAGGAAACAGCCCAUCCCCACCAGGAUCCCCAUCCCUGGGAUGUCACCACUCACUCCAGCACAGCCACCAGGGACCUGCUGCAGCUGGGAGCGGGGAUGGAGCAGAGACCCCCGCCCCAAGGUACCUCAGCCUGUAAUGGCACAUCUGGGGACAUCAGUGUCCAGGUGACCAUCUUCAGGACUUGCUGGAGAGUGGAGAGCUCCAUGCUGGCUGAGAACUAGUCCUAGCAGUUGGAUUCAGAGAAUUCCUGAAAGGCUAUAGUAGGAUGGGGCAGGGACUUCACUGCUGCUGCCUCUGUGAAGCACCCAGCUCCCACUCGUCUUCUUACAACAGAACUGCUACACCCUUUGCUGCAAGAAAUCUGCCUCUUCCCAGCCUCUGCCACACUGCUAACUCAGCCUGGAGCACUUACAAAGCCAUUGCCUCCCGUCCUCCCAGGAUUUUAGCAUGCUGCUUGGAGAAUAAACCUGCUGGCAAAGUGAAUGCGAGGCAAUCUUCCCUUUUGAAAGCUGGCAGCUCACCGGGGCUCCCCGAGUCACUGCAGAGACACAGCACAGGUGAAACCCCACCCUGGUGCUGCUGAUUUCCCAGAGCAGGCUUUUCUCCUUCUUCUAACUCCUGCCUGGAGAGGUAACUGAGCUUUAACAAUUCCAUAAUUAAUGUCUCCUGGGCUGCUGGACCUGCCUGAGCAGGCAGGCACCGUCUGCAGGGAGGGGGAGGAUGUGGCAAUGCCGGCUUGGAGUGGGUCGGCUCCGCUCCAGGAUCACCCGGGCCCUGCUAGUGCGUGUGUGGGCCUGCAAAACCCUUUUGGGGAUAAGCACAGGUUUUCCAAGGAAAAAGGCACACAGAGACACGCAGCACAGCAACAAUCCACACCCACCUUUACGUUUAUUUAUUUACAGUUCAUGUCAGGGGUGGGAGAAAAAGCUUUUGGAACGAGCAGCACUGGCACGGUGGGAAAAAUCAAGGGCUGCAGCAUGUGAGGUGCAGUUCCUAUAGGAGUUUCCAAGCAAAUCAGAUCCAAACUCAUACCACAGCAUGCAGGAGGACAGAGAUAAUGACCCUGUCGAGCUGCUGGUGUAACACUGCUGUCCCUGUCCCCUUGUGCUGCUCGAGACCCUGCAACAGGGAGAGGGUGGCACUCCAACAGCCGUGCUCCUCCCUGUUGGGAGGGAUGGAAAGCACGUGCUGGUGUUAAAAAACAUUGUUCAAAUCAAUCUGCUCCAUAAACAGGUGCUGGGGACUGUCCUGAGGAGUUUUGACAGGGCUCCUUGGAAGAGGAGGCAGCACGGAGUGUUGGAGCCAACGGUGAUGGAGAAAAGGAGAUCACUGGCUGAUACUGCUGAUCUGAGAGGAUGACAUCACCUCCCCAUUAAUCACUGCUUGAAUAAUAAAGAAGCUGGACUGGAAUCUCCUCCAUCCUUUGGAAACAGGUAUUUUGGUCUCUUUUCCCAUUUAUGUUGCAGCUAAGACCCCUGCUCUGCAGCUCUUUAAAGCCAUGGCACGUGGAUUCAAUGUGCCCUUUGCUUGACUCCAUUCACCAGGUAUUUAAUUCUUAUUUUUCACUCUGCUGCCACGUUCUUAACACCACUUGCCACCAUCAGGGGCCAGGGACAAAGCCCUGUGGGGCUGCACCAGUUUGGAGCGACCUUUAUCGCUGUUUCUAUUUCUAAGGCUUUUAAAACCCCGUCAAACAUCAGGGCUGGUGUAAAAUCACCAACUAAAUAAUGUCACGUGGGGUCAAAAUGACACCAAGAUGGCAUCCCAAAGGCACCGAGCUGACAGUGCCAUUUGGUGUUUAAUGGUGGCAUGGAUGAAGGCACUAAAUAAAUUAUAGAACCCACAAAAAUGGUGUCAUCUGGUGUCAUAAACAUCAUCAGUGAGGCAAGGAUGUCAUCAAGUGAUGGUGUCAAUGACUGGGUACAGUCAUGGCUGCACUGAGACAGGUACCUACGGUGAGCGUGGUAAGAUGCUUACUGGGAUUUUAUUUAAGUUAGUUUAAUAUUAGUUCAUUAAUAAAGUAUCGGUGUGCUAAUA
Molecule: long non-coding RNA, 2599 nt
Organism: Pseudopipra pipra
Lineage: Eukaryota; Metazoa; Chordata; Aves; Passeriformes; Pipridae
Exons: 2
Source: RefSeq, a predicted model, not a curated record